Molecule: long non-coding RNA, 2707 nt
Organism: Prionailurus viverrinus (fishing cat)
Lineage: Eukaryota; Metazoa; Chordata; Mammalia; Carnivora; Felidae
Exons: 2
Source: RefSeq, a predicted model, not a curated record
GUACCUGCGGGCACAGCGGCGUCAGGGGGGUCCCCGCGCCCGUCCCCGCCGGCAGCGCCCCGCACUCACGUGGACUCCACCAGGCUGAAGCACUUGCCGGAGAGCCUGAAGAGGUGCGCGGGCCCUGGAAGAGAGCGCGACAGCCGAGUCCGGCGGGGGCGCCCGCGGCUGGGACUCGGGACAGGAGCACCGGGGCCCACUGAAGCGACCUCCGAGGGCGACAGCGGGCACCCUGCAGCUGGCGGGGGCCUCCGUCCGGCCUCGCGCUCGGGCAGAAAGAAGAGGGGAACUCCAAGGAGGACAGGCCCCGACCCUCGGCAGACACCCAAGGGCGACGAGAACUGAGGCCCGUCGGGGGACCCAGCCUGCAGCCUGGAAGGCGGCGCAGUGAGGGACGCGGCCGUCAACCCACCCGCCAGGCGGACGGGGGGCGGCAGAGGGGACCCGGUCCCCACAGGGUGCCCUGCCCUUGGAACGGUGAAGGCGAAGUCACGGCUGCGGCACAGAGCCGGGAUGCUUGCCGUCCCGACCUUGUCAGUCUACCGAAUGUGGGAGGUGCAUCACAAAACCAUCACGCGUCUUUGCUGGUGGGUCCCCGGCGUCUGAGGAGGUGAGCCUGAGACGGACAGCAGAGCUGGGGGGGGGACACUGAUUUUGUCCGUGACUCAAACUGACGAGAAACUGCAAUCAGAUCUGAAUAACCUGAUGUUACGAACCCCCAGAGUGACACAGAGGGAAAGCAGCGUCACAAGGGAGGAAACGAGGGACGAGAUACACGGUUUCCUGGGAGUCCUUCCUUAUCGACACGUCCAAGUGAAGGAAUUAACUAUCCAUCCGGUCAAAAGGCACAGGCCGGCCAAGGGGAGGAGACCCCUCAGAGAGGCUCCUGUUAGCUGUAAAAGUCAGGAGAAAGAGGGCCGGGGCGGCCACACUGCCACCAGAGCGACCGUAUGCCACAAACGGUCAGGAGAGACCAUGGGUGUUCUGUUCUGAACAAACCUAGUAGGACUAAAACGCCACUUUCUGAUCACAACGGAAACCAGAAAUCAACAGCAGAAGCAGGAAAUGCACAGAUCCAGAGUAAUUACACUCAGGGAAAUCAGGAAAUACUCGAGACAGAGAGCAGGAGGCUCAGAGCCCAGGUGCUGAGAGGGAGCCGGGCGUCUCCGGCACGUUCAAGUACGCGCUCACGCCCAUGACCUAGCUCUCUCACACUCAGCACUAAAACGAGCACACGAGACACAAAGCUGGCAGAAGAAAGAAAACGAAAAGCAGUAAAAGCCAACACUCCUUUAAAAAGCUCCCCAAGAUCCUAAGUGUUUCGCUAGACUGACUAAAACACACACACGAGCGCUGAAACCCCUAAAGCCAGGCAGGAACGUGGGAAAGCUGCCAGUUUGGCUGAAAGACGGCUACCAGAAUACUGAACGAGCCGGCCGCCAACCGGUCGAUCACCUAUGCGAAACGGGCAGUUCCUAGGAAUGCGCCAUCUAUCAGUCCUUCUCAAGGGUCCCCAAGCCACGGAAGAGCGGACCACACGCUGCUUCACGGUGUGGGGCCAGCGUCACCCCGAACCCUAAGUCAACAAGUCACAAGGAAACCACGGUCCAAUAUCCACUCCGAACAGGAGUGCAAAAAACCCUCCACGAAACACCAGCAGACUGAUUGCAACGACGCACUGAAAGGUUCCUACGUCGUCACCAAGUGGGGUUGAUUCCUAGAACGUGAGGAUGGCUCAAAAUACAACAAUCACGGUAACAACACGAUCCACUACCAGACCCAGGGGGGACCCCACGGCCACGCGACUGUUGCAGAAAAAGCACCUGACAAAAUUCAACCCUCUUUCAUGGCACGAAGCCUCCACAACCAAGGAAACGAACGAAACUGCCACCAACGCAGAAGCCGUAUGGGCCGACCCCACGGCUGACCUCAGACGGAACGUGGGCAACACCCAGCGCGUUCCUCCUCCCGUCGGGCGCUCUUGGCCGUCGACGCCGCACUCAAGUUCUACCACAGCGAUCAGGCGAGAAAGAAAACGCAUCCAAACUGGAAAGGAAGAAAGAACUACGUGGCCACGUUAGCAGACGACAUGGUCGCGUACGUAGAAAACCCUAGUGGGGACUCCUGGGCGACUCGGUCGGAUCAGUGUCUGACCCUUGAUUUCAGCUCAGGUCACGAUCUCACGGUUUGUGGGACCGAGCCCUGCGUCAGGCUUUGUGGUGACAGCAAGGAACCUGCUUGGGACACUCUGCACGCCUCCUUCCUCCCCAAAAUAAACAAAAAGGGAAAAGAAAGAAAAGCAAACCCUAGAGUCCACAAAAAUCUGUGAGCAAAGGGGCAAGAUACCAAGUUGACACUGAAGAACGAGGUGUGUUUUUCUACACGGACAACAACCCAAAAAGGAAAUCUGAGACAACGAUUCCAUUUAUAAGGGUACCAAAAAAUACAUCUAUUUUGGAAUAAACCGAAGAGGCAAAAUACUUGUACAGAGAAAACUACAAGAUAGCACCUAGAAAAUGAAGCAUGUAAAUAAAUGAAAUAAAUGGAGAGAGACCCUGUGUUCAUGGAUAGGACGAUUUAAUACUAAAAUGUGAAUACUCUCCUAACUAACCUAAUUGAGGGCAAUCCAUAUCAAAAUCCCAGGAACUUUUUUUUUUUUUUUUUUUUUUACAGAAAUAGUAAAACCCAUCCUAAAAUUAAAACAGAA